GGAGAGGUGUCCGAGUCUGGCUUAAGGAGCUCGCCUGGAAAGCGAGUAAGGGUUUACGCCCUUCGAGGGUUCGAAUCCCUCCCUCUCCGCCC
This 92-nucleotide transfer RNA is filed under the name Halobacteroides halobius DSM 5150. Its description in RNAcentral is "tRNA-Ser". It matches the Rfam family "tRNA". Rfam says of the family: Transfer RNA (tRNA) molecules are approximately 80 nucleotides in length. Lineage: Bacteria; Bacillati; Bacillota; Clostridia; Halanaerobiales; Halobacteroidaceae. The record is from RNAcentral.